This 506-nucleotide ribosomal RNA is filed under the name Trimeria rhachiphora. Its description in RNAcentral is "partial 16S ribosomal RNA". The stretch from base 379 to 506 matches the Rfam family "Bacterial large subunit ribosomal RNA", at positions 2473 to 2600 of the family's 2925-position model. Lineage: Eukaryota; Metazoa; Arthropoda; Insecta; Hymenoptera; Vespidae. The record is from RNAcentral.
CGUUUAUAGAUAUUAAUUAUAAAUAGAUCCUGCCCACUGAUGAGAAUUAAAUGGCUGCAGUAGACUGACUGUGCAAAGGUAGCAUAAUCAAUUGCUUUUUAAUUGGAAGCUUGGAUGAAUGGAUUGACGAGAUUUUAAUUGUUUCAAUAAAAAUAAAUGAAUUUUAAAUUUAAGUAAGAAUGCUUAAAUAAGGUUAAAAGACGAUAAGACCCUAUAGAAUUUUAUAUAAGUUAAUUUUUGAAAGUGUAAAUUUAAUAUAAAAUAAUUAAUUAUAUUUGAUUGGGAGGAUAAUUAAAUUAAAAGAACUUUAAUGAUUUUAUACCAUAAGUAAAUGAAUAUUUGAUUAUUAUUAUAAUUAUUAGAAAAAAUUACCUUAGGGAUAACAGCGUAAUAUUUUUGGAGAGUCCAUAUUGAUAAAAAUGUUUGCGACCUCGAUGUUGAAUUAAGAUUUCUCUUAAUUGCAGAAGAUUAAGAUUGUUAGUCUGUUCGACUAUUAAAAUCUUACA